CUGACCCUACUAGAAGGUAAUAUAGGGGAAGUAUGAAGAGUUUUGAUCUCUUUUGUAUGGGUUCGACUCCCA
Molecule: transfer RNA, 72 nt
Filed under: Brachygalba albogularis
Lineage: Eukaryota; Metazoa; Chordata; Aves; Piciformes; Galbulidae
Description: tRNA-Gln
Rfam family: tRNA (bases 11-72)
About the family: Transfer RNA (tRNA) molecules are approximately 80 nucleotides in length. Their secondary structure includes four short double-helical elements and three loops (D, anti-codon, and T loops).
Source: RNAcentral